UUCUCUGAUAACACAUAACAAAGUUGAUGUUAAAUAGCGAGUUUAUUGAAAUGGUUUUGUCUAUUUCAGCAGCGUUAUAAAUAUCAUGAUUUCGCUGGUGUCUUCAAUAAAGCUAAAACAAGAAUACAUUUACGUCCUUAGUUCUUUCAUUAUUAAUUGGAAAACUUUGUGUUGAGAUUUGCUGUUAAACUAAAAAAAAAAUUAUGUGCACAAAAUCCGAUAGGUAUUCUUCUAUUGGAGAUGAAGACUUGGAUGCAAAAGUGCUGGACAUUCAGCGUCAUCACCCAAAUGCCGGCUGCAGAAUGAUGAUGGGACAUCUACGAUCCAGAGGCAUAUACAUUCAAAGAUUUCGACUGAUGGAUUCAAUGAGACAAGUCAAUCCAGAAGGGGUCAUGAUGCGACGGUUAUCUAUUCAGACUGCAAGGCGUCGUCAGUACAGUGUACCAGCACCAAAUCACCUUUGGCAUAUCGAUGGAAAUCAUAAACUAAUUCGCAUUGAGCGCCUGUGGAGGGAUGUAUAUGAAAACAUCCUUGACCUUUUGUACACAAUCUUCACCCAGCUGGAGAUUCAAGGAUUGCUCAACCCUGGUGAAGAAAUUGACUUGUUUGCACUGCACAGAUGCUUUUUGCAUCACAUUCAACAUCAUCUUCAGUCAUUCUAGGAAGCAUGGAAUCAGCACGGACUCAGAACAGCAAACAACCAUUCACCCCUGCAACUCUGGUUGCUGCACAGAAAAGAGGGACAAGAUUUGUCACAGGUUGAUGAGGAUUAUGGUGUGGACUGGACAGAACCACAUAAUCAUCGCCCAUCAAAUGAGAUCACCAUUCCUGAGAUUCAGCUCCCACGUGCACUGAAUG
Long non-coding RNA from Oreochromis niloticus (Nile tilapia), 858 nucleotides. RefSeq lists it as uncharacterized. The record is from RefSeq and is a predicted model, not a curated record. NCBI's taxonomy places the organism in Eukaryota, Metazoa, Chordata, Actinopteri, Cichliformes, Cichlidae. The transcript is spliced from 4 exons.